GGGGAAUUUUCCGCAAUGGGCGCAAGCCUGACGGAGCAAUACCGCGUGAGGGAGGAAGGCUCUUGGGUCGUAAACCUCUUUUCUCAGGGAAGAACACAAUGACGGUACCUGAGGAAUCAGCAUCGGCUAACUCCGUGCCAGCAGCCGCGGUAAUACGGAGGAUGCAAGCGUUAUCCGGAAUGAUGGGGCGUAAAGCGUCCGUAGGUGGUUAUGUAAGUCUGUGGUUAAAGCGUGGGGCUCACCCCCAUAAGGGCCAUGGAAACUACAAAAUUUGAGUAAAGUAGGGGUAGAGGGAAUUCCCAGUGUAGCGGUAAAAUGCGUAAAUUUUGGAAAAAACACCGGUGGCAAAAGCGCUCUUCUGGACUUAAACUGACACUGAGGGACGAAUGCUAGGGGAGCAAAGGGGAUUAUAUCCCCCUGUAGUCCUACCCGUAAACGAUGGAUACUAGGUGUUGCCGGUAUCGACCCGGGCAGUGCCUUAUUUAACGCGUUAUGUAUCCCCCCCUGGGGAGUACGCACGCAUGUGUGAAACUCAGAGGAUUUGACGGGGGCCCGCACAAGCGGUGGAGUAUGUGUUUUAAUUCGAUGCAACGCAAAGAACCUUACCAGGUUUUGACGUGUCUAGAUUUUCUGCGAAAGUAGAAAGUGCCUUCGGGAGCUAGAACACGGGUGGUGCAUGGCUGUCGUCAGCUCGUGUCGAGAGAUGUUGGGUUAAGUCCCGCAACGAGCGCCACCUCUCUUUGUUAGUUGCCAUCAUUCAUGUUGGGCACUCUAGCAAGACUGCCGGUGACAAACCGGAGGAAGGUGGGGGAUGACGUCAAUCAGCAUGCCCUUUACUCCUUGGGCUACCACGUACUACAAUGCUCUGGACAAAGGGCAGCCAACCAGGCGAUGGUGCGCUAAUCCCAUAAACCAGGGCUCAGUUCAGAUUGCAGGCUGCAACUCGCCUGCAUGAAGGCGGAAUCGCUAGUAAUCGCAGGUCAGCAUACUGCGGUGAAUCCGUUCCCGGGCCUUGUACACACCGCCCGUCACACCAUGGGAGUUGGUCACGCCCGAAGUCGUUACUCUAACCCUUGUGGAAGAGGACGCCGAAGGUAGGGCUGAUGACUGGGGUGAAGUCGUAACAAGGUAGCCGUACCGGAAGGUGUGGCUGGAUCACCUCCUUUUAGGGAGACCUCACAACAUGUUGACCGAAACACACCGGAUUAAGUCACAUGUCUGUUAUCCCAAGGUCGAGCGGUUUUGAUGAGAGGGCUUUCAAACCUUAUAUUCUAGUUCAGCUUGCUCUGGGCUAUUAGCUCAGUGGUAGAGCACACCCCUGAUAAGGGUGCGGUCUCUGGUUCAAGUCCAGAAUAGCCCACUUAUCCAAGGCAACUGGUGAACACUAACUAGUCAACUUAAGUGAUGAUAGUGAGUUAAUGAAACUCGGGGGUUUAGCUCAGUUGGUAGAGCGCCUGCUUUGCAAGCAGGAUGUCAGCGGUUCGAGUCCGCUAACCUCCAUCGGGGGCACCAACAACAAAAGUUAGAGCACUCAACUAGAAUAGACACCGCCAACACCGGAACUGAAUUCAGCACCUACUAAUUGAGUAGUCUGCUGGGCUCACAAGUCCAGUUCGCACCUUGACAACUGCAUAAUAAUCAACAGUCAGGUAGUCGCAAUGUAAGUUACAGACAAUCCAAACAUAAAUCAUUGAAACUUGUGAGGUAAGUUCUAGGUUCGAUUAGUUAAUUAACCGCACCGAAGACAACCGCACAAAGUGGUCAAGCUACAAAGGGCUUACGGCGGAUACCUAGGCACACAGAGGCGAAGA
RNAcentral lists this small RNA (1811 nucleotides) under uncultured Chamaesiphon sp. RNAcentral's name for it is "bacterial SSU rRNA". The stretch from base 1 to 1166 matches the Rfam family "Bacterial small subunit ribosomal RNA", at positions 356 to 1533 of the family's 1533-position model. Lineage: Bacteria; Bacillati; Cyanobacteriota; Cyanophyceae; Gomontiellales; Chamaesiphonaceae. The record is from RNAcentral.